CAAAGUGUAGCUUAAAUUAAAGCAUCCAGCUUACACCCGGAAGAUCUCACCUACCAAUGAUCACUUUGA
Molecule: transfer RNA, 69 nt
Filed under: Alouatta palliata (mantled howler monkey)
Lineage: Eukaryota; Metazoa; Chordata; Mammalia; Primates; Atelidae
Description: tRNA-Val
Rfam family: tRNA
About the family: Transfer RNA (tRNA) molecules are approximately 80 nucleotides in length. Their secondary structure includes four short double-helical elements and three loops (D, anti-codon, and T loops). Further hydrogen bonds mediate the characteristic L-shaped molecular structure. tRNAs have two regions of fundamental functional importance: the anti-codon, which is responsible for specific mRNA codon recognition, and the 3' end, to which the tRNAs corresponding amino acid is attached (by aminoacyl-tRNA synthetases). tRNAs cope with the degeneracy of the genetic code in two manners: having more than one tRNA (with a specific anti-codon) for a particular amino acid; and 'wobble' base-pairing, i.e. permitting non-standard base-pairing at the 3rd anti-codon position.
Source: RNAcentral